Molecule: long non-coding RNA, 1037 nt
Filed under: Aphidius gifuensis
Lineage: Eukaryota; Metazoa; Arthropoda; Insecta; Hymenoptera; Braconidae
Description: uncharacterized LOC122852277, transcript variant X2
Source: RNAcentral
UUCCCUUGGAAUUUGCGCGGAUGAUGAUGAUGACGAUACUUGGAUUGAUUGUGGAGCAUCAUAUUUAGCCUGGCUAUCACUGUAAUGAACAUUGGGUGAUUGCAAUGGACGAAAAGAUGUGUGUCGAAACAUUUGGAGGAGAUGAAACCAGUGAUAGUGUCUCGGAUGUAUGCCCGUCAAGGACACCUGGCCGAGACCACUCGACGCUCGAAUGUCGAGGUUUUUUUUUUUUCGUUACUCUCUACCAGAGAUGACUGAAAAAAAAUGUACUGCUAACAAUAUGAAUGGAAUUCUACAAAAAAAAUAGUAAGAUUAUUAAUAACACUUGUAGUAUCAUGGAGACCAACGUAUUACAUCAAGUAAUUUCUUUUUGUGGUACUCAAUAAAAUCAUCACAACACGUAUCAAUGUCCUCAAUAAACAUUGAAUGAAAUUCAAGUAGUAUCUCUCUUGAAUCUGGUACUUCAGCAAUGUUUGUCAACGUCUACAAUGCAUUUUUAAGACAACAUACAAUGUAUCAUACAAUAGACUUUUGAAAGUCGUCAAGAGGUUCAUUUCAAUUGCCUUGACUAUUCCUGAAGUAUUCUGACAGAGUGAAACUAGACAAGCAAGAAUAUGACCAACGAUGUUCAUAUUAUCGUUCAGUCUAUUGAAAAGUCCAACGAGUGCUUCCAUUGUCCCAUCACUUUCAUUUUGAGAUUCAUUGAUGCGUAACAACAAGAGAUGCUCGAGACUCGAAAGCAGAAUUAUCUAAGCUGAGUAACUAUCGACUGCUGUCAACGACUGAUGCCUUGACAAUUGUUGACAAUAACCAAGAUGGCCAACAAUAAGUCCAGACCAUGUGGUAGAAGUCAUGAAUAAUAGAAAACAGUGGAGAACAGGAGGACGAAUGUAAAGGAAACUAUCGAGCCAAAAACGCUACAAAAACCAACAAGAAAAUUCAAGACAAUGAUAAAUGAAAAAUAUUACCGAAAGUGGAAGUGGACUUUUUUCACAUGGUGAUGCUAAAACUCCAACAACAACUUUAGCAGCUCCAGU